GACGAACGCUGGCGGCGUGCCUAAUACAUGCAAGUCGAACGAACUCUGGUAUUGAUUGGUGCUUGCAUCAUGAUUUACAUUUGAGUGAGUGGCGAACUGGUGAGUAACACGUGGGAAACCUGCCCAGAAGCGGGGGAUAACACCUGGAAACAGAUGCUAAUACCGCAUAACAACUUGGACCGCAUGGUCCGAGYUUGAAAGAUGGCUUCGGCUAUCACUUUUGGAUGGUCCCGCGGCGUAUUAGCUAGAUGGUGGGGUAACGGCUCACCAUGGCAAUGAUACGUAGCCGACCUGAGAGGGUAAUCGGCCACAUUGGGACUGAGACACGGCCCAAACUCCUACGGGAGGCAGCAGUAGGGAAUCUUCCACAAUGGACGAAAGUCUGAUGGAGCAACGCCGCGUGAGUGAAGAAGGGUUUCGGCUCGUAAAACUCUGUUGUUAAAGAAGAACAUAUCUGAGAGUAACUGUUCAGGUAUUGACGGUAUUUAACCAGAAAGCCACGGCUAACUACGUGCCAGCAGCCGCGGUAAUACGUAGGUGGCAAGCGUUGUCCGGAUUUAUUGGGCGUAAAGCGAGCGCAGGCGGUUUUUUAAGUCUGAUGUGAAAGCCUUCGGCUCAACCGAAGAAGUGCAUCGGAAACUGGGAAACUUGAGUGCAGAAGAGGACAGUGGAACUCCAUGUGUAGCGGUGAAAUGCGUAGAUAUAUGGAAGAACACCAGUGGCGAAGGCGGCUGUCUGGUCUGUAACUGACGCUGAGGCUCGAAAGUAUGGGUAGCAAACAGGAUUAGAUACCCUGGUAGUCCAUACCGUAAACGAUGAAUGCUAAGUGUUGGAGGGUUUCCGCCCUUCAGUGCUGCAGCUAACGCAUUAAGCAUUCCGCCUGGGGAGUACGGCCGCAAGGCUGAAACUCAAAGGAAUUGACGGGGGCCCGCACAAGCGGUGGAGCAUGUGGUUUAAUUCGAAGCUACGCGAAGAACCUUACCAGGUCUUGACAUACUAUGCAAAUCUAAGAGAUUAGACGUUCCCUUCGGGGACAUGGAUACAGGUGGUGCAUGGUUGUCGUCAGCUCGUGUCGUGAGAUGUUGGGUUAAGUCCCGCAACGAGCGCAACCCUUAUUAUCAGUUGCCAGCAUUAAGUUGGGCACUCUGGUGAGACUGCCGGUGACAAACCGGAGGAAGGUGGGGAUGACGUCAAAUCAUCAUGCCCCUUAUGACCUGGGCUACACACGUGCUACAAUGGAUGGUACAACGAGUUGCGAACUCGCGAGAGUAAGCUAAUCUCUUAAAGCCAUUCUCAGUUCGGAUUGUAGGCUGCAACUCGCCUACAUGAAGUCGGAAUCGCUAGUAAUCGCGGAUCAGCAUGCCGCGGUGAAUACGUUCCCGGGCCUUGUACACACCGCCCGUCACACCAUGAGAGUUUGUAACACCCAAAGUCGGUGGGGUAACCUUUUAGGAACCAGCCGCCU
RNAcentral lists this ribosomal RNA (1465 nucleotides) under Lactiplantibacillus plantarum subsp. plantarum. RNAcentral describes it as "Lactobacillus plantarum subsp. plantarum 16S ribosomal RNA". It matches the Rfam family "Bacterial small subunit ribosomal RNA". The record is from RNAcentral. Lineage: Bacteria; Bacillati; Bacillota; Bacilli; Lactobacillales; Lactobacillaceae.